RNAcentral lists this unclassified non-coding RNA (1527 nucleotides) under uncultured fungus. Its description in RNAcentral is "sequence contains 18S rRNA gene, ITS1, 5.8S rRNA gene, ITS2, 28S rRNA gene". The stretch from base 606 to 1527 matches the Rfam family "Eukaryotic large subunit ribosomal RNA", at positions 1 to 961 of the family's 3401-position model. The record is from RNAcentral. Lineage: Eukaryota; Fungi.
GGAAGGAUCAUUACAGCGUAUACGCGGGGUUCGCCCUGUUAUACCCGUCCUCAUGUCAUUCAAGUUCUCCCGUGGUCUUCGCCGUCUCCGCAAGGGGGUGGUGGGGCACGUCUGAACUCAACCCAUACUUCGGUCGAGGUGUUCGGUUACCGGGCGGUUAAUCACCAAUCGGGACAGGACCGCGAUCGGUGGUCGGUCUUUGUCGGCCGGUUCCAUCUUCCACUCUUUGAGAACUUCUGAAGUCUGAGUACAAUUUACAAAUAAAAGCAAAACUUUCAACAACGGAUCUCUUGGCUCUGGCAACGAUGAAGAACGCAGCGAAACGCGAAAGGUAAUGCGAAUUGCAGAAUCAGUGAGUCAUCGAAUCUUUGAACGCACAUUGCGCCUCUUGGUAUUCCAGGAGGCACGCCUGUCCGAGCGCCAUUACGCAAUCCAAGCUCAGCUUGAUGUUGGAUGCCGCGCCCUGCCACUCUUUGCGGCGGGGCGCGCGUCUGGAACGCGUUGGCGUCCUUUCGUGGAUCCCCGAGUGUCGCGAAGAUUUUACAUCAUUUCACUUGGCGGUGUCUGCGGGAGGCGGCCUUAAGACCAAACCUUAAUUCAAUGUUUGGCCUCGGAUCAGGCGGGGAUACCCGCUGAACUUAAGCAUAUCAAUAAGCGGAGGAAAAGAAACCAACCGGGAUUGCCCUAGUAACGGCGAGUGAAGCGGCAACAGCUCAAAUUUGAAAUCUGGCGGUCUCACCGUCCGAGUUGUAAUUUGCAGAGGGAGUCUCGAGUUACGCGCCGGCCCAAGUGCCUUGGAACAGGAUACCGUAGAGGGUGAGAGUCCCGUCUCCGGUCGGCGUCGCGCUCGUGUGAGGCCCCUUCGACGAGUCGAGUUGUUUGGGAAUGCAGCUCUAAAUGGGUGGUAAAUUCCAUCUAAGGCUAAAUACCGGCCAGAGACCGAUAGCGCACAAGUAGAGUGAUCGAAAGAUGAAAAGCACUUUGAAAAGAGAGUCAAACAGUACGUGAAAUUGUUGAAGGGGAAGCGUAUGGGGCCAGACUUGGCCGCGGGGGUUCAGCUUCGGCGCACUCCCUCGCGGGCAGGCCAGCAUCGGUUUGCGCGGCCGGACAAAGGCGUUGGGAAUGUGGCCCUCUCGGGGGUGUUAUAGCCCGGCGUGCAAUGCGGCCAGCGCGGACCGAGGAACGCGAAUCACGGAUGCUGGCGUAAUGGCCGUAUACGGCCCGUCUUGAAACACGGAUCAAGGAGUCUAACAUCUAUGCGAGUGUUUGGGUGUCAAGCCCGGACGCGCAAUGAAAGUGAACGUUGGUGGGAGCUUCGGCGCACCAUCGACCGAUCCCGAAGUUUACGGAAGGAUUUGAGUAUGAGCAUGGCUGUUGGGACCCGAAAGAUGGUGAACUAUGCGUGAAUAGGGUGAAGCCAGAGGAAACUCUGGUGGAGGCUCGCAGCGGUUCUGACGUGCAAAUCGAUCGUCAAAUUUGCGUAUAGGGGCGAAAGACUAAUCGAACCAUCUAGUAGCUGGUUCCUGC